RNAcentral lists this ribosomal RNA (246 nucleotides) under uncultured bacterium. RNAcentral describes it as "partial small subunit ribosomal RNA". It matches the Rfam family "Bacterial small subunit ribosomal RNA", at positions 26 to 285 of the family's 1533-position model. The record is from RNAcentral.
AGAAUCAACGCUGGCGGCGUGCCUAACACAUGCAAGUCGAACGAGAAAGUGGGAGCAAUCCCACGAGUAAAGUGGCGCACGGGUGAGUAACACGUGACUAACCUACCCUUGAGUGGGGGAUAACCUAGGGAAACCUGGCUAAUACCGCAUAAUACCUACGGGUCAAAGGAGCAAUUCGCUUUAGGAGGGGGUCGCGGCAGAUUAGUUAGUUGGCGGGGUAAUGGCCCACCAAGACAGUGAUCUGUA